GCGGGUGUAGCUCAGUGGUAGAGCUCUUCGUUGCCAACGAAGUGGUCGUGGGUUCGAAUCUCAUCACCCGCU
Molecule: transfer RNA, 72 nt
Filed under: bacterium
Lineage: Bacteria
Description: tRNA-Gly
Rfam family: tRNA
About the family: Transfer RNA (tRNA) molecules are approximately 80 nucleotides in length. Their secondary structure includes four short double-helical elements and three loops (D, anti-codon, and T loops).
Source: RNAcentral